This 506-nucleotide ribosomal RNA is filed under the name uncultured bacterium. RNAcentral describes it as "bacterial SSU rRNA". It matches the Rfam family "Bacterial small subunit ribosomal RNA", at positions 15 to 518 of the family's 1533-position model. The record is from RNAcentral.
GAUCCUGGCUUAGGAUGAACGCUAGCGGCAGGCUUAACACAUGCAAGUCGAGGGGCAGCGCGGGUAGCAAUACUGGCGGCGACCGGCGAAAGGGUGAGUAACGCGUGAGCAACAUGCCCGACACAGGAGGAUAGUCGAUGGAAACGUCGCGUAAUACUCCAUAACAACAUGGAUCGCAUGGUUCGUGUUUGAAAGAUUCAUUGGUGUCGGAUUGGCUCGCGUACCAUUAGCUAGUUGGCGGGGUAACGGCCCACCAAGGCGACGAUGGUUAGGGGUUCUGAGAGGAAGGUCCCCCACAUUGGAACUGAGACACGGUCCAGACUCCUACGGGAGGCAGCAGUGAGGAAUAUUGGUCAAUGGCCGAGAGGCUGAACCAGCCAUGCCGCGUGCGGGAGGACGGCCCUAUGGGUUGUAAACCGCUUUUGUAGAGGAGCAAUAAGGCCCACGUGUGAGCCGAUGAGAGUACCCUGCGAAUAAGCAUCGGCUAACUCCGUGCCAGCCGCCGC